Molecule: ribosomal RNA, 421 nt
Filed under: Fusobacteriota bacterium
Lineage: Bacteria; Fusobacteriati; Fusobacteriota
Description: Fusobacteria bacterium partial 16S ribosomal RNA
Rfam family: Bacterial small subunit ribosomal RNA
Source: RNAcentral
UGGGGAAUUUUGCACAAUGGGGGGAACCUUGAUGCAGCGACGCCGCGUGAGGGAUGGAGGCCUUCGGGUUGUGAACCUCUUUCGCCCGUGUGCAAGCCGCCAUUUGGGUAGUGGUGAGUGUAGCGGGUAAAGAAGCGCCGGCUAACUACGUGCCAGCAGCCGCGGUAAUACGUAGGGCGCGAGCGUUGUCCGGAUUUAUUGGGCGUAAAGGGCUUGUAGGCGGUUUGUCGCGCCUGUCGUGAAAUCCUCUGGCUUAACUGGGGGUGUGCGGUGGGUACGGGCAGGCUUGAGUGCGGUAGGGGAGAGUGGAAUUCCUGGUGUAGCGGUGGAAUGCGCAGAUAUCAGGAGGAACACCGGUGGCGAAGGCGGGUCUCUGGGCCGUUACUGACGCUGAGGAGCGAAAGCGUGGGGAGCAAACAGG